UGCAUGGUGGCGCAGUUGGUAGCACUGUUGGCUUGCAGCAAGAAGGUCCUGGGUUCAAUUCCUGGCUUUCUGCAU
This is a non-coding RNA of Ataeniobius toweri, 75 nucleotides long. Lineage: Eukaryota; Metazoa; Chordata; Actinopteri; Cyprinodontiformes; Goodeidae. The record is from the annotation of a GenBank genome assembly.